Molecule: long non-coding RNA, 208 nt
Organism: Haplochromis burtoni (Burton's mouthbrooder)
Lineage: Eukaryota; Metazoa; Chordata; Actinopteri; Cichliformes; Cichlidae
Exons: 4
Source: RefSeq, a predicted model, not a curated record
UUUCAGACUGAUGCUCAGAGGAUGCACAUCAUAGUUCUCCCUCUCUGGACACCUGAUCAUUUCCAGUUGUGUGAAUCUUGCAGUGAAGAUCAUUCCCGGGCAGUGGUCAGAAAAAAAGAGCUUUGACUUGAAGGGUUUUCCAAGCCAAGACUAUGGAGUUGACUGUGGGAUCUUCAUGCUGAUGUCUGCUCUGUACGUGGCACUGGAU